ACGGAAGGCAGCAGUGGGGGAUAUUGCACAAUGGGGGAAACCCUGAUGCAGCGACGCCGCGUGAGUGAAGAAGUAUUUCGGUAUGUAAAGCUCUAUCAGCAGGAAAGAUAAUGACGGUACCUGACUAAGAAGCACCGGCUAAAUACGUGCCAGCAGCCGCGGUAAUACGUAUGGUGCAAGCGUUAUCCGGAUUUACUGGGUGUAAAGGGAGCGCAGACGGCAUGGCAAGCCAGAUGUGAAAGGCAGGGGCUCAACUCCUGGACUGCAUUUGGAACUGUCAAGCUAGAUUAUCGGAGAGGUAAGUGGAAUUCCUAGUGUAGCGGUGAAAUGCGUAGAUAUUAGGAGGAACACCAGUGGCGAAGGCGGCUUACUGGACGAUAACUGACGUUGAGGCUCGAAAGCGUGGGGAGCAAACAGGAUUAGAUACCCUGGUA
This 434-nucleotide ribosomal RNA is filed under the name uncultured Lachnospiraceae bacterium. Its description in RNAcentral is "partial 16S ribosomal RNA". It matches the Rfam family "Bacterial small subunit ribosomal RNA", at positions 341 to 792 of the family's 1533-position model. Lineage: Bacteria; Bacillati; Bacillota; Clostridia; Lachnospirales; Lachnospiraceae. The record is from RNAcentral.